RNAcentral lists this ribosomal RNA (693 nucleotides) under uncultured bacterium. RNAcentral's name for it is "bacterial SSU rRNA". It matches the Rfam family "Bacterial small subunit ribosomal RNA", at positions 141 to 851 of the family's 1533-position model. The record is from RNAcentral.
GGACAACAGUUGGAAACGACUGCUAAUACCGCAUAAAAUAACGGAAUCGCAUGAUUCUGUUAUCAAAGGAGAAAUCCGCUGAAAGAUGGGCUCGCGUCUGAUUAGAUAGUUGGUGAGGUAACGGCCCACCAAGUCGACGAUCAGUAGCCGGACUGAGAGGUUGAACGGCCACAUUGGGACUGAGACACGGCCCAGACUCCUACGGGAGGCAGCAGUGGGGGAUAUUGGACAAUGGGGGAAACCCUGAUCCAGCGAUGCCGCGUGAGGGAAGAAGGUUUUCGGAUUGUAAACCUCUGUGGACAGGGACGAUAAUGACGGUACCUGUCAAGAAAGCCACGGCUAACUACGUGCCAGCAGCCGCGGUAAUACGUAGGUGGCGAGCGUUGUCCGGAAUUACUGGGUGUAAAGGGAGUGUAGGCGGGAAGGCAAGUCAGAAGUGAAAAUUAUGGGCUCAACCCAUAACCUGCUUUUGAAACUGUUUUUCUUGAGUGAAGCAGAGGCAAGCGGAAUUCCUAGUGUAGCGGUGAAAUGCGUAGAUAUUAGGAGGAACACCAGUGGCGAAGGCGGCUUGCUGGGCUUUUACUGACGCUGAGGCUCGAAAGCGUGGGGAGCAAACAGGAUUGGAUACCCUGGUAGUCCACGCCGUAAACGAUGAUUACUAGGUGUGGGGGGAUGAACCCUUCCGUGCCGGAG